CUUGUUUACUAGAUUGAAUUGUACACUACAAUAGUUGCUAAGUUCCAUCAUUUGUAAAUUUUGUGUAACAUAACUAUGGCUGGAAAUGCGCAAGGCAAAUUGGCUUCAUUUAUCACUCAUAUUGGAAUUGACAUCAAUACUUGGGGGAUGAAAUUUUUCAGCUUGGAUGCAAAACAGAAGGUUUUGAAUAUUUGAAGGAAAGAUGUUUGCCAAAUUGCCGCAGUGUGAGGACGAAAGAAAAGUCAUCGAAUUCCAUAGAGAUGAAGAUACAAUGUGAUGAAAAGAGGUCCUUCAAUGGAGAAGCUGAGGCCAUUUCAGAAUCUGUGUUGUUUUCAUUUAAUUGUUAUUGUGGAGUAGUUAGUUGUAAUGUAAUUUGCAAUUUGUAACUUGUUGUAAUACUCUUUCUUGGCAUGGGUUUUAUGUUCUAGCCCCGUGUUUGACAUUGUAUGCCAAAACAUGAUAUUUGUGUGAUUGGUAAGUAAAUGUAAUGGUUGGAGACUCCAGAUUAGAUUUUGAUGCUUGCUAGUUGUUGGUUGUUGCACUUUAUUUUUUGUCUGACCAUGAUUUUUUGUUCAGUCAAAAGAAAGAAAAAUGUUGUU
Juglans microcarpa x Juglans regia is the source of this 599-nucleotide long non-coding RNA. RefSeq lists it as uncharacterized. The transcript has 3 exons. Lineage: Eukaryota; Viridiplantae; Streptophyta; Magnoliopsida; Fagales; Juglandaceae. The record is from RefSeq and is a predicted model, not a curated record.